GCCUCGUUGCCGCAGUAGGCAGCGCGUCAGUCUCAUAAUCUGAAGGCUGUGAGUUCGACCCUCACACGGGGCA
Gasterosteus aculeatus (three-spined stickleback) is the source of this 73-nucleotide non-coding RNA. The record is from Rfam. NCBI's taxonomy places the organism in Eukaryota, Metazoa, Chordata, Actinopteri, Perciformes, Gasterosteidae.